Molecule: ribosomal RNA, 450 nt
Filed under: uncultured bacterium
Lineage: Bacteria
Description: partial 16S ribosomal RNA
Rfam family: Bacterial small subunit ribosomal RNA
Source: RNAcentral
GUGGGGAAUAUUGGACAAUGGGCGAAAGCCUGAUCCAGCCAUGCCGCGUGUGUGAAGAAGGUCUUCGGAUUGUAAAGCACUUUAAGUUGGGAGGAAGGGCAGUAAGUUAAUACCUUGCUGUUUUGACGUUACCGACAGAAUAAGCACCGGCUAACUUCGUGCCAGCAGCCGCGGUAAUACGAAGGGUGCAAGCGUUAAUCGGAAUUACUGGGCGUAAAGCGCGCGUAGGUGGUUUUGUAAGUUGGAAGUGAAAUCCCCGGGCUCAACCUGGGAACUGCUUGCAAAACUGCUGAGCUAGAGGACGGUAGAGGGUGGUGGAAUUUCCUGUGUAGCGGUGAAAUACGUAGAUAUAGGAAGGAACACCAGUGGCGAAGGCGACCACCUGGGCUGAUACUGACACUGAGGUGCGAAAGCGUGGGGAGCAAACAGGAUUAGAUACCCCAGUAGUCC